UCAGCCUUGACCUGCCUCCUCUUCUCCACCUCUGAGUUGCAAGAGCGUGGUGAAUUCCAGGCAAGGACACUCACAUCUGGAGGAUUGGUGCUGGCACAAUGCAGGUGCCUGCUGGACAUCUCCACCUACGUGAUUCACUCAGAUUCAACCUGUCCCAAAGAGGACCCAGCACCCUACUCCCCAAACCUGGUGCUCCUGCUUCCUGUAUUCCCUGUCUCUGUGACACAUGCUUUACAGAUUCAGGGAACAGUCCUGAAAGUCCUGUGAACUCUCCCAUAUCCUAGUAGGUAUUCAAUAAAUGUUUAUUGAAUGGA
Molecule: long non-coding RNA, 314 nt
Organism: Galeopterus variegatus (Sunda flying lemur)
Lineage: Eukaryota; Metazoa; Chordata; Mammalia; Dermoptera; Cynocephalidae
Exons: 2
Source: RefSeq, a predicted model, not a curated record